CACGUAGGGUGCAAGCGUUGUCCGGAUUUAUUGGGCGUAAAGAGCUCGUAGGCGGCUUGUUACGUCGACUGUGAAAACCCGCGGCUCAACCGUGUGGUCUGCAGUCGAUACGGGCAGGCUAGAGUUCGGUAGGGGAGACUGGAAUUCCUGGUGUAGCGGUGAAAUGCGCAGAUAUCAGGAGGAACACCGGUGGCGAAGGCGGCAUCCUGGACCGACACUGACGCUGAGGCGCGAAAGCUAGGGUAGCAAACGGG
RNAcentral lists this ribosomal RNA (254 nucleotides) under uncultured bacterium. Its description in RNAcentral is "partial 16S ribosomal RNA". It matches the Rfam family "Bacterial small subunit ribosomal RNA", at positions 524 to 776 of the family's 1533-position model. The record is from RNAcentral.